RNAcentral lists this ribosomal RNA (253 nucleotides) under uncultured bacterium. RNAcentral's name for it is "partial 16S ribosomal RNA". It matches the Rfam family "Bacterial small subunit ribosomal RNA", at positions 524 to 776 of the family's 1533-position model. The record is from RNAcentral.
UACGUAGGGUGCGAGCGUUAAUCGGAAUUACUGGGCGUAAAGCGUGCGCAGGCGGUUUUUAAAGUCAGCUGUGAAAGCCCCGGGCUUAACCUGGGAAUUGCGGUUGAAACUACAGGGCUAGAAUCUGGCAGAGGGGGGUGGAAUUCCACGUGUAGCAGUGAAAUGCGUAGAGAUGUGGAGGAACACCGAUGGCGAAGGCAGCCCCCUGGGCUGAGAUUGACGCUCAGGCACGAAAGCGUGGGGAGCAAACAGG